UAAUAAGUGUUUUAUGGCACUUUUUAAAUCCAUAUCCACCUUGUGUGCAAUGUCAGUCGAUCUUCUUCAUGGAGAUCGACCAAACAUCAACCUUUAUUUUUUAACUCUGUCGUCUUGAGAAUCUCUGAGUAUCAUAUUAAACAAAAAAA
This 149-nucleotide unclassified non-coding RNA is filed under the name uncultured Mortierella. RNAcentral describes it as "sequence contains ITS1". The record is from RNAcentral. Lineage: Eukaryota; Fungi; Mortierellomycota; Mortierellomycetes; Mortierellales; Mortierellaceae.